Molecule: non-coding RNA, 835 nt
Organism: Oncorhynchus mykiss (rainbow trout)
Lineage: Eukaryota; Metazoa; Chordata; Actinopteri; Salmoniformes; Salmonidae
Source: RefSeq, a predicted model, not a curated record
CUGAGAGAGAGGACCAAGACAAACCCUGAGCAGAAGCUCAGAGAGAGAGAGGACCAAGACAAACUGUUCAAGAAGGAGAUUAUUUUAUUCUCAGGACAGGGGAAUCUAAAGGGAAUUCUAUACGAUGUGUGCCUGGGGAAUAGCUGCUGGAGAUCCAUCUAACCAUGGAGCUAAUGUGCUGUUUUGUAGGACAGUAUAGAACAUGGAGACUGUAGCAUGAUGUACUACAGUACCCAUAAUGCCCUGUGUACAACCAUUCGUACCAUACCAGUCAGUGUCUAGAUGCUCAUGCAUCCGCGAAAGAUGUAAUCACUUACAGGAACUGCUCAUAGUGUGCACUCAGGCUCCACAUAAACAGGAAGUAGGAAGCAGAUCUCAUGUUUUUGGGGGGAAUUGAGAAUGUGAUAUCCUAUAUUUUAUGGUUUUACGUUUGUAUAAAUAGCUGUUUUAUCUGAUGCAGUUAGAUAAACUCUUAACCCUUCAGAUAAACGUAUUUCACAAAAUGUUCCUUUCCCUUUCUUCACAUGCUGGCAAGACCAAAAAAGGGAUUCAGGGCCCUUGAGUUCAGGUUCCGGGCCCUUGAGAUCAGGUUCCGGGCCCUUGAGAUCAGGUUCCGGGCCCUUGAGAUCAGAUUCCGGGCCCUUGAGAUCAGGUUCCGGGCCCUUGAGACCCUGUUUUGCAAUAGACUUUUGUAUAUCUUAAAACAAUGCCAUUUAUUAUGUAUUUUUGUAACAGCGUUUAUAUGCUUUAAGGUGCCGUUGGGUAUUUAUUCUACUUUACAGGUGUUUUAUCUUCCUAAAAUGAUGAAUAUUAAUAUUAAAUACAUUUUGAAAAA